UUACAGUGUAAAUAUAAUUACUGUGACAUAGAUUUGCUUUGGUUCACUGAGCUGGCAAUGAGCAAGCUUUACAGCAUUGUAUCUUUUUGUUCUUGCUUAAAUUGCCUUUCUAGUAGGUGGUUGGAGCUAGAACCCAGACCACAGCUGCAGUCCCAAUGUGCUGUUGUAACAGUAUUAGCAUAUAAAGUAGAUAUCAUUGCAGAGUGCAGGGCUGAUUCCUACCGGCCCUAUGCGCUGUGAGUGUAGCGGGAAAGGUCCAUUUCAGUGUGCUUGGCACAGCAGGAACCUGCUGACUUGGCAGUACCUGCAGGAGACUCCGUGCUUUUCAGUGGUGGCUGCUCUACACUCCUGGAUUUUGCCGCCUUGCCAGCAGCACUGGGACCAGAACAAGCAGAGAAGUGUUUUCCAUGGAAAUCUUCUUUCCUAGAUUGAAUGACCCUUAUGCACUGUGUCUUUCCUGGUUGCACAGACAGGUCUGUACCAACAAGUGUUUCUCCUGAAGGAACCUAGAGCAUCUGGACAGGUCUGAGUGGGUCUGGUGUGGAAACGCAGUCCUGGGGAGCUCAGAUACAUGACAGUGCUUAUACAAGUAGUUAACCUAAGAAUAUUGACUACGCCUAUGCAUGUGUUUGCCCUAAUAGCACUGGUCUGAAUCCGAUAUACUUAUUGCCUCCAGAGGAGGCUGGCGGCCAUUUUGUCAGCCCAGAGCUGCUGCUGCAGCUAUGCAGCAGCUUCUUCACUGCUGGUUUCUCUCCAUGUAAACCUUCCUCCCUUACCACAUGUGCCCCCAGGCCCCUGUUUGCCACUCUUUGUCUUUUAGGGGGAAAAAGCCAAGUGUGGGAGGCUGGAUGUUGUUCCCUCUGCUGCCUGAGGGACCCUCUUGUGGCUUCCGGAAGGUUCCACAGAGCUUCCUGUCAGUGCCGUGGGACAGCCAGCGCCUCGCUUAUGACCUGUGGACGAGGGUGCUUCUGUGGCUGUCCAAAAAAAAAGGGAUAAAAAAAUGCUGGAAACAGCACAGCUGGAGAGCACGUAAUACUGCUGAAGAGAUGCAAAGAGAAGAUGCAGUUCUAUUAAGAGAUUUCAUGAGUACGCACAGCUAUGCAGGACAAAAGGACAACUUCUUCAUGAAAAGAAAUACUGUUGCUGGCUCAGACUUGGUGAGAGAAAGAGAUACGGAUACAUUGUAUAUCAGUGGAAGAAGACAUGAGAAGAACAUGCAUGAUGAUUAAUCUUUCCAAAGAGGUCACACAGUUUUUAUUCUGGAGAACUAAUGAAUUUAAGUCAUCAAAAUGGUAAAAGAAGAGCAAUUAAAUGCAGAAAUCUGGUGAAAUUCUGGAAAUCUAAGAUGGAAUUGAUUAAUAAUAAGAGAUAUAGAAGAAGGAUAAAGAAAACUACUGUUUCCUGAUGUAUCUUGUUCCACGUAAAUUGACAUUAAGAUUGAAAUUAACUGCCUUCUGCAUGUCCUUUAUAUUCUGGCUGCCUUCACCCUCCAGAGAAACAUAAGGAGUUUGAAAUCUUAUUUGCUGUUCCUAGUCUAUCGAUGCAUAGGACACCUAAUUAAUAUUGAGGUCAAUAAUACCAUCUGUUGUUCCUCAGGAGUUAAGAUCUAAGAACCUUCCACACACAAGCAUAAACCUCAGCAAAGCACUUUCAGUCUACGCCAUCCAAAAUAAUUUUGAAGUUAUCAGCACUCCCCUAUUUGAUGGAACACCAUCCAUGGGCAAGAGGGUGCAUAUAACUUCAUAUGUAUAUAACAAUGGGGACCUGAAGUACCUCAUAUAGUUACAGCUGAGUUGGGAAGUUGCUGAAUUUCAUUAAAUAUUGACAGAAAUAGAAAUGAACUUUUGUUAUGCAAUAGUUCGAUAACAUAAUCCUUCUGGAAAGAGUCUUUGCAGAUGAAGAGCUUGGAUAUGUUAUGAAAUCAAGGAGAAUUGUGGUGUUCUAUAGGUGAAAAUCAUGAUCUUUACUGAACAUCAUGACAAAAUGUCACACUAUGGUUUGGAACAAGGGUACAGUAGUUAGAAGCUGCCAUUAUGUGAGCAACGCAUAAUCAUGUGCUAUAGCAAUUUCAAAGCUGAGUAGUGGGAUAAAGAGUGGAUAUUGAAAAAUACCUAUCUGGGGAGGCUCUAGAGAUGAGGAAAAAUGAUAGAGACAUAAGCUUGAAAUGAAGAAUAAAGAUGCUAGAGUUGGCA
Numida meleagris (helmeted guineafowl) is the source of this 2192-nucleotide long non-coding RNA. NCBI's taxonomy places the organism in Eukaryota, Metazoa, Chordata, Aves, Galliformes, Numididae. The record is from Ensembl.